GGUGACCCACUCCAGUAGUCCUGCCUGGAAAAUUCCAUGGACAGAGGAGCCUGGCGGGUUACAGUCCAUGGGGGCAUCACAUAAAAGUCAGGCAUGACAGAGCACACACGUGCACGCACAUCUGCAGGACUAGGUUCUGUGUCUUUGAUGGCUGUCAGCUGGGGCCGCCCUUAUCCCUAGAACUCAUUCACCAAUUCCUGCCCAGAACCUGCUGUAUCUCAGAACCAGCCAUGGCAUCAAAGCUUCCUCCUCACAUCUCUGUCUCUUCUGGUCUUCAGGGCUCCUGUAAUCACAUUGGGCCCAUCUGAUAAUACAGAAGUGUCUCCCUAUGCUGGGCGUGGAGAAGGAGCAGCUUGGAAUGGCAGCGGACAGCCAGAACAGAUGGACAGCAGCUGAAUCAAUCAAGAAGCGAUUGCAAUCUAUGCAACUUUUUACUCUGAAAAGGAUUUGAGACAUCCCAAAGAAAAUAUAUAUCAUGAAACAAGAUAUAAAAUUAGAUGCGGAAAAUAAAUUUCAAGAGGAAAAUUAAGGCAUGUUCAGAUCAUCCAGUCUGAGCCCCAGAGCUGAUGAGGACAGUGACCUAGGACCCUGCAAAGAGCUAGAAGAGGAUGCAGGGAAGGGAGGAAGGAGGGAAUAAGCUUUGACCUUAGACAGACUUGGAUUCAAAUUCUGGCUCUUUCACUCUCAUCUACUCUGUAUGUGACUUCAAGCUGCCUACUUCAAGCUGGACUACUGAAAGUCGGUUGUGCCUCAGGGAUAAUAAGAGCCACCCCUCAGGGACUGAGGUGAGAACUAAAAUGAGAUCCUGAAGGCACAGUUCACGCAGAGCUGAGCCAGGGCACACAUGAUGAAUGGUUCCCAUUAUAUUUAUUGUUAUCAUCACCAUGAUCUGAAUGGCCUAAAUUCCUGGUGCUUUUUAGCUGAUGCAAAAUUAUUUCUACUUUGAACAGAAUUCAACAAGUUUGUACUUCUUGGAUAUGCCUGCUGCUGUUUAUAAGUAAAGAAGGGUAAGGAGAGUUGUAGCCUUUGAAGAGAAUAUUAGGGAUGAGUCUUACCAGGGUUGUUGUUUUUUUGUUCUCUUUAAAAUUUUUUUUAGUUUGUUUGCCUUUUUUUCUUUUAUUUUUUUAAAGUUUUUUUUUUUUUCCCCCCUUGGGUGGGGGGUGGGUAGUGGCAGUAGGAGGUUAUGUUUUAAGAAGGAAAAAAAUACUAUUGUUACCAGUUAGUUUCUCCUUCAUUUCUCUUUGCCCACUCAGUUUCAUCCUCCUGACUCUCUCCUUCUAAUAAAUCAAUCCCAUGUUUCAAUACAAAGGACCGUUCCUUUUUUUCACUGCUAUUGAAAAGCAGUUUAAUAGACUAGUCCAUCCUUUAGCUAUUUACUGAUAACAGCUUAAGCUCAUUAUCUUUCCCAGAAUAAGGGAAACAGUUGUAGUAUUUUAAUAGUGAAACUUUUCCCACAAAAUUUUUUAAUAGUGAAAGUUCUCAAAAAGUCUUCAUGAAUUGCUAAUCCUAGAAUUUCAGU
Bos taurus (domestic cattle) is the source of this 1519-nucleotide long non-coding RNA. NCBI's taxonomy places the organism in Eukaryota, Metazoa, Chordata, Mammalia, Artiodactyla, Bovidae. The record is from Ensembl.